AUUGAACGCUGGCGGCAGGCCUAACACAUGCAAGUCGAGCGGUAGCACAGAGAGCUUGCUCUCGGGUGACGAGCGGCGGACGGGUGAGUAAUGUCAGGGAAACUGCCUGAUGGAGGGGGAUAACUACUGGAAACGGUAGCUAAUACCGCAUAACGUCGCAAGACCAAAGUGGGGGACCUUCGGGCCUCAUGCCAUCAGAUGUGCCCAGAUGGGAUUAGCUGGUAGGUGGGGUAACGGCUCACCUAGGCGACGAUCCCUAGCUGGUCUGAGGGGAGGACCAGCCCAACUGGAACUGAGACACGGUCCAGACUCCUACGGGAGGCAGCAGUGGGGAAUAUUGCACAAUGGGCGCAAGCCUGAUGCAGCCAUGCCGCGUGUGUGAAGAAGGCCUUCGGGUUGUAAAGCACUUUCAGCGGGGAGGAAGGCAUUAAGGUUAAUAACCUUAGUGAUUGACGUUACCCGCAGAAGAAGCACCGGCUAACUCCGUGCCAGCCGCCGCCGUAA
RNAcentral lists this ribosomal RNA (504 nucleotides) under uncultured bacterium. RNAcentral describes it as "partial 16S ribosomal RNA". It matches the Rfam family "Bacterial small subunit ribosomal RNA", at positions 29 to 523 of the family's 1533-position model. The record is from RNAcentral.